CCAAUCUUUUUUAUCAAUAUGAACUUUCCAAAAAAAUUACGCUGUUAUCCCUAAAGUAACUUAAAUUUUUAAUCAAUAUAGUUGGAUCAAUUAUUCAUAAAUUAAUGAUUUAAAUUUUUAAAAGUUAAUUAAAUUUUAAUAUCACCCCAAUAAAAUAUAUUUUUUUAUUAUAAUUAAAAUAAUCUUUAAAAUUAAAAUAAUAAAUAUAUAAAGAUUUAUAGGGUCUUCUCGUCUUUUAAUUAAAUUUUAACUUUUUAAUUAAAAAAUAAAAUUUUAUUAAAAUUUUAAAUGAAACAGUUAAUAUUUCGUCCAACCAUUCAUUCCAGCCUUCAAUUAAAAGACUAAUGAUUAUGCUACCUUUGCACAGUU
Molecule: ribosomal RNA, 369 nt
Filed under: Melanostoma apicale
Lineage: Eukaryota; Metazoa; Arthropoda; Insecta; Diptera; Syrphidae
Description: partial 16S ribosomal RNA
Source: RNAcentral